GUUGGGUGUCCCAUCUUGUCCUCAGUUGCCGAUGGGUUGUUGGGAGCGGAAGUUCGGCCAUUUUGAGCGCGUCUUCUUGCGGAGCCGAAAGAGAGAGAGACGCUGUGCGGGGUUUAGAGCGUAGCAGUUGAGCAGCAGAGAGUGUUACUCAAGGAAGACUUUAAGGAGUUUAUCACAGCAGCUGAUAAAGGGGCUCUGGAGGUGAAGGUUGGAAUCAAAGAAACUCUUAGUUGAAGACAGAAGAUUGUUCACAAGAGCAACUGAGAUUACAAUGAGCCAGAGCAAGUGUGGAAUUCGUAAGCUUGACUUGUUUUAAGUUUAUGAUGACAAUACUAAAAAGUGAUUCCAUGAGAAAUAGCUGGAGUAAGCUGCUGUGCUGCUUUACCACUAAUGUAAUCUCUACUCCGGUACUUGUGUUAUUAAAUAAACUU
This is a long non-coding RNA of Stegostoma tigrinum, 431 nucleotides long. RefSeq lists it as uncharacterized. The record is from RefSeq and is a predicted model, not a curated record. Lineage: Eukaryota; Metazoa; Chordata; Chondrichthyes; Orectolobiformes; Stegostomatidae. The transcript is spliced from 3 exons.